GGGCUGGACUGCACAAUGGAAGGACAACACUUGAGCUUAGCCAAAAGGCCAAGACGCGACGGCGCGGGACAAAUGGCAGGAUUGUUGGCUUGGGACAUGACUCUUUCCUGUGUCUGGGAAUCUGACCUUCCCCAGACAAAGGAAGCUGCCAACGUGCUUCUUGGAGCACACAGGCAUGCAGACCCGCCUGGCCAGGAUGAGACUGGGGCCUACCUCAUCGACCGUGACCCCACCUACUUUGGGCCCAUCCUGAACUUCCUCCGACAUGGCAAGCUGGUGCUGGACAAGGACAUGGCAGAGGAGGGGGUCCUGGAGGAGGCUGAGUUCUACAACAUCGGUCCACUGAUCCGCAUCAUCAAAGACCGGAUGGAGGAGAAGGACUACACGGUGACGCAGGUGCCACCCAAGCACGUGUACCGCGUGCUGCAGUGCCAGGAGGAAGAGCUCACUCAGAUGGUCUCCACCAUGUCUGAUGGCUGGCGCUUCGAGCAGCUGGUGAACAUCGGCUCCUCCUACAACUACGGCAGCGAGGACCAGGCGGAGUUCCUGUGUGUGGUGUCCAAGGAGCUGCACAGCUCCCCAAACAGCCUGAGCUCAGAGUCCAGCCGCAAGACCAAGCCCAGUCAUCUCAGGAUCCCGCUAACCUUUCCUCCCUCCCACCACCGCCUCCUCCGCUUCCCGCUGGAGGCUCCGCCUCAUCUUCAUCCACCUCCUCUUCCUCCUGGACCUCAUCUGCACCCUGCCUCCUCCCUCUCUGCCCCUGUCCGGGUUUCCUCUCUGCCUGCUCGCACCUCCAUUCUGGGACUGCCCUGGUCCCGGCCCCCCGUGCCCUCUACCCAGGCCCCCCAGCAUCCUGCCUGCUGCCACCUCCUACGCCCCUCCUUGUCCCUCCCACCUCCCAGCCUGGGGAGGAGGGGCACAGCCGUGCUUUCUGUGUGCCCACCAGCCCUGCCACUGCCACUGGGCACCUCUGAGGCUGGCCUCGGCCCUAGGCACCACUCCGCCCAGCUCCUGCCACCGCCACUGCUCACCUCUCCUCCUUGCAGGCCCACAUCCUCGCCCUCCCAGACCCGAGCUGCUCCCCGGCCCCAUGCCUGCCCCAGAGCUGUCAUCGCAGUUGGCAGCCCGGUGGAGCUGGAGGGGAGGGUCGGAGCCAGGAGGGUGCACAUCUCUGGUCCUUGGACUGGGGCCCAGAACUUUCUUCCCACUGACUGUCUACCCACCAAAGUUUCUCACCCUGUCUGGGCCUUGGGGUGAGGCUCUGAGACCAGAAAGUCAGGAGGUGGGGCCCUUUCCUGUCUGCCCGCCAGCACCUGAGCCAGGCUAGGGGAGGGAGAGCCAGGACCCCUCGCCUUGGCCUCAUCCCCAAGAGCUCCCGUCACCAUGGGCACUGGGUCCCCAUUUCUGUGGGGUGGGGAGGCCAGGUUACACGUGGACACCCUUGACCAAUGAGGACACAGCCAGAGCCAGUUAAGGAUGGGACUGCAGCAGAAAGCCCUGGCCAGCUAUUACAAGCCAGAGGCACCCGGAUGUGAGGCCCCAGAUCACCUCCAGGGACUUGGGGUUACGAUCUGA
This is an RNA transcript of Fukomys damarensis (Damara mole-rat), 1575 nucleotides long. It is a transcript of the gene named potassium channel tetramerization domain containing 17, with no coding region annotated. The record is from RefSeq and is a predicted model, not a curated record. Lineage: Eukaryota; Metazoa; Chordata; Mammalia; Rodentia; Bathyergidae. The transcript is spliced from 7 exons.